Triticum aestivum (bread wheat) is the source of this 125-nucleotide non-coding RNA. The record is from Rfam. Lineage: Eukaryota; Viridiplantae; Streptophyta; Magnoliopsida; Poales; Poaceae.
UUUGUACUCCCUCCGUCCGAAAAUACUUGUCAGAAAAAUGGAUAAAAAUGGAUGUAUCUUAAACUAAAAUACGUCUAGAUACAUCCAUUCCUUCGACAAGUAUUUCCGGACGGAGGGAGUAGAUU